AAAAAAGAUUCUCAGCAAGCCCAAAGCACAAAUAGAAACCUUAGACAGAGGAGGAUCUGGCCAAGACAGAGAAGCGGCGCUGAUCAUACACCUGAAGCCGAUAACCCGAAGAUAUAAACUGCCUGAGGAAGAUGAUUUGAAACCAAGAAUCACAACUUGAGGAGAAACUCUAAAGGAUGAUGCCAUGCAACCCCAUUCAAGCCCAAGCAGAGUCUCCUCAAACCCACGACAGCUUCUCCAGAAAGAUCGAGCCAAGAACCUUCGUUUACCCACUUGAGAACCAAACUAGAAGGAGCCAGAACAGAAAUUUCUAAAGACCUAGGUCAUGGAACUAGACAUAAUACAACUGACACAAACGUUUCAUGGAGGGUGAAGAUGGCAAAACUGGCAAUUCAGCUUUGAGGGUCACUCAUGAAAGGGCUAAUCUGGCUAAAAACCCUAGAGAUACCAUCUUCCAUAAACUCAAACCCUUCGCAAAUCU
This 481-nucleotide unclassified non-coding RNA is filed under the name Hevea brasiliensis (rubber tree). The record is from RNAcentral. Lineage: Eukaryota; Viridiplantae; Streptophyta; Magnoliopsida; Malpighiales; Euphorbiaceae.